CCUACGGGUGGCUGCAGUGAGGAAUAUUGGUCAAUGGCCGAGAGUCUGAACCAGCCAAGUAGCGUGAAGGAUUACUGCCCUAUGGGUUGUAAACUACUUUUAUCUGGGAAUAAAAUGUUCCACGUGUGGGAUUUUGUAUGUACCCUGUGAAUAAGGAACGGCUAAAUCCGUUCCCACAGCCGCGGUAAUACGGAGGAAGGGAGCGUUUUCCGGAUUUUUUGGGUUUUAAGGGAGCCUAAGUGGAUUUGUAAGUCAGUUGUGAAAGUUUGCGGGUCAACCAUAAAAGUGCAGUUGAAACUGGCAGUCUUGAGUACAGUAGAGGUGAGCGGAAUGCGUGGUGUAGCGGUGAAAUGCAUAGAUAUCACGAAGAACUCCGAUUGCGAAGGCAGCUCACUGGACUGCAACUGACACUGAGGCUCGAAAGUGUGGGUAUCAAACAGGAUUAGAUACCCCUGUAGUC
RNAcentral lists this ribosomal RNA (460 nucleotides) under uncultured bacterium. Its description in RNAcentral is "partial 16S ribosomal RNA". It matches the Rfam family "Bacterial small subunit ribosomal RNA", at positions 338 to 795 of the family's 1533-position model. The record is from RNAcentral.